CCCCCGGGGGGGGCAGCAGUGAGGAAUUUUCCGCAAAUGCGGGAAAACCUGAUGCAGGGCAACCGGGUGAAUGAUGAAGGCCUUCCGGUUGGAAAGCCUUGUCCAAUGGGGAGAAAUAACCCUCUUUUAAUACCCGCGAAUUUUGACGGUACCCCAGAAAGAAGCACCGGCUAACUCCGUGCCAGCAGCCGCGGUAAUACGGAGGGGGCAAGCGUUAUUCGGAAUUAUUGGGCGUAAAGGGCGCGUAGGCGGUUUUUUAAGUCAGAUGUGAAAGCCCCGGGCUCAACCCGGGAAGUGCAUUUGAAACUGCCAGCCUUGAGUACAGCAGAGGGAAGUGGAAUUCCCGGUGUAGCGGUGAAAUUCGUAGAUAUCGGGAGGAACACCAGUGGAGAAGGCAUCUUCCUGGGCCGUUUCUGACGCUGAGUCUAGCAAGCGUGGGGCGCGAACAGCCUUAGAUACCCUGGUAGUCCACGCCAAAAACCUGACAAGUAGGGGUAGGGUGUAGGGAC
RNAcentral lists this ribosomal RNA (509 nucleotides) under uncultured bacterium. RNAcentral's name for it is "bacterial SSU rRNA". It matches the Rfam family "Bacterial small subunit ribosomal RNA", at positions 335 to 836 of the family's 1533-position model. The record is from RNAcentral.